GAGUAGCUGGGAGUACAGAUGCACACCACCACACCCAGCCUAGAAUGAAGAAACCUGCAGUUGGGAAGCAUGAAUUUACCACCUAUUAAGGAAUGCAAGAAAUUACAUUAUAGAAAGCAAGCUGUACUUCAGAAAAACACACAUCAACAGAGGAAGAGAAAGGCUCCAUUUCUUUUGAAAAUGAUGGAAGAUUCUUCUCAGAAAUCUUUUUAAAAAAUCAGUAUAUUCAGAGAUCUGAUAGAGACUUUAUUUUAGUUCUAGUUUUUUUGGGGAAAAGUUUGCCAUGGUUUUGGAGGCUCCUUAAAGUAUUAAAUCUUGAGCUCUUCUUAUCAAAGUCAAGGGAACCUACUGAGUAAAACUAUUUUUAAAAGGGAGAAAUUUUUAUGCUUUCCUUUUAAGAGGUUAAUCAAUAAACCCAAGUGAACAAGAA
Molecule: long non-coding RNA, 430 nt
Filed under: Homo sapiens (human)
Lineage: Eukaryota; Metazoa; Chordata; Mammalia; Primates; Hominidae
Description: HSALNT0292809
Source: RNAcentral